RNAcentral lists this ribosomal RNA (751 nucleotides) under bacterium VII.10. RNAcentral describes it as "bacterial SSU rRNA". It matches the Rfam family "Bacterial small subunit ribosomal RNA", at positions 63 to 825 of the family's 1533-position model. The record is from RNAcentral.
CGAACGAUGAUGCCCAGCUUGCUGGGCGGAUUAGUGGCGAACGGGUGAGUAAUACGUGAGUAACCUGCCCUUGACUCUGGGAUAAGCCUGGGAAACUGGGUCUAAUACUGGAUACUACCUCUUACCGCAUGGUGGGUGGUGGAAAGGGUUUUACUGGUUUUGGAUGGGCUCACGGCCUAUCAGCUUGUUGGUGGGGUAAUGGCUCACCAAGGCGACGACGGGUAGCCGGCCUGAGAGGGUGACCGGCCACACUGGGACUGAGACACGGCCCAGACUCCUACGGGAGGCAGCAGUGGGGAAUAUUGCACAAUGGGCGGAAGCCUGAUGCAGCGACGCCGCGUGAGGGAUGACGGCCUUCGGGUUGUAAACCUCUUUCAGUAGGGAAGAAGCGAGAGUGACGGUACCUGCAGAAGAAGCGCCGGCUAACUACGUGCCAGCAGCCGCGGUAAUACGUAGGGCGCAAGCGUUGUCCGGAAUUAUUGGGCGUAAAGAGCUCGUAGGCGGUUUGUCGCGUCUGCUGUGAAAGCCCGGGGCUCAACCCCGGGUCUGCAGUGGGUACGGGCAGACUAGAGUGCAGUAGGGGAGACUGGAAUUCCUGGUGUAGCGGUGAAAUGCGCAGAUAUCAGGAGGAACACCGAUGGCGAAGGCAGGUCUCUGGGCUGUUACUGACGCUGAGGAGCGAAAGCAUGGGGAGCGAACAGGAUUAGAUACCCUGGUAGUCCAUGCCGUAAACGUUGGGCACUAGGUGUGG